UAGGGAAUCUUGCACAAUCGACGAAAGUCUGAUGCAGCAACGCCGCGUGUGCGAUGAAGGCCUUCGGGUUGUAAAGCACUUUUCUGAGGGAAGAGAAAGGACGGUACCUCAGGAAUAAGUCUCGGCUAACUACGUGCCAGCAGCCGCGGUAAUACGUAGGAGGCAAGCGUUAUCCGGAUUUAUUGGGCGUAAAGCGCGUGCAGGUGGUUUGGUAAGUUGGGUAUGAAAUCUUCUGGCUUAACUAGGAGAGGUUGCUCAAAACUACCAGACUAGAGGACGAUAGAGGAAGGUGGAAUUCCCGGUGUAGUAGUGAAAUGCGUAGAUAUCGGGAGGAACACCAGUGGCGAAGGCGGCCUUCUGGGUCGUUCCUGACACUAAGACGCGAAAGCAUGGGUAGCAAACGGGAUUAGAAACCCCGGUAGUCCAUGCCGUAAACGAUGUGAACUUGAUGUCGGUGACGUAAUAGUCAUCGGUGUCGAAGCUAACGCGAUAAGUUCACCGCCUGGGGAGUACGAUCGCAAGGUUA
This 526-nucleotide ribosomal RNA is filed under the name uncultured bacterium. RNAcentral's name for it is "bacterial SSU rRNA". It matches the Rfam family "Bacterial small subunit ribosomal RNA", at positions 355 to 896 of the family's 1533-position model. The record is from RNAcentral.